Molecule: long non-coding RNA, 1207 nt
Filed under: Salmo salar (Atlantic salmon)
Lineage: Eukaryota; Metazoa; Chordata; Actinopteri; Salmoniformes; Salmonidae
Description: lncRNA (ENSSSAG00000093797.1, ENSSSAG00020017146.1)
Source: RNAcentral
UUUGCGAUAUCACAGGCAGAUAUCCUCGUCUCAGUUCACAGGUACUGAAGAGGUUGCCACACGCGGACGCUGGGGUGACUGGCAGGCCUUGAGAGCUGAAGUGUCGAAGUGAAGUGUUUGAAGCACAAACACCUGGAGAUUUGGUUGAAAGGUUAAAGCCAAUCUAAUAACGCGGUGAACAAGCGACAUAUCCUGGACGUGUAGAUUCAGCAUGAGUCUCAAUGUGAGAGGCGAGGUAGUCUAAGUGAAACCUCGAAGUGUAGUGUCGCAUCAUUCCACUUUAGUUGGCUUCAAAGCCCUUUUGAGAUCAUUUAACAAUGUUUGAGAGAUGAGCGAUAUUUUUUAGCCCGAAUAAAUUAGCACAUGAUGGGUUAAGCAGUCCUCCAGGAGUCCUCCAGGUUUUUAUAUGACCAAACAUAUCGAGUGGUUCCAAUGACGAAUUUGACGCGAGCCUCCCGUCCCUGGCUGUAGAUGGCUGACAAAACAUUACGGUGGAACCAAAUGGACUCCUGAGAAAACCAGCAAACCAGGCUGUCGUCUUGUGAAACAGUGGAUGUAAAGAAUCUAGCUAGCUAAAGCAUUUAGAGGGCUAUGUGUCUCACCACUUGGUUAUUGCAAGGCUAAGCCCCAGUGAAAUCAUGACUUGACAGCAACAGAUAGUCCAGUGAAAAUGGCUGUGUUUAUGUGGUGUAAAUCUGAAAAUCAGCAGCUGACAUCUUAAGGGUUUUUAAUGAAUGGGUGUGAGACAGGUUCCAUGUAAAACAAGACAGGCAUAGAUGGAGAGAAAGAACAAAGAACAGUUUAAUUAUCUCUGGUUAUGGACACUUUUGCCAGCAAUAAAGCUUCCACUGCCUGUUCCUCGGACAGUAAACAUCUGGCAAUAUCUACAUUUUCAACCCCUUGAUCAGCUCGCUCUCUGACAGAAAAAGCAAAUAGCUUAUUUUUUUGUAGAUAUGUGUCACGUCCUGACCAGUAGAGGGUGUAGUUGGGUCAGGACGUGGCAGAAGGGAGUAAGUGUUUUAUUGUUUCAUUUAAUUUUGGCCGUGUGACUUCCAAUCAAGCACAGCUGUAGAGGGUUGUGGUUGAUUGGGAGUCACACAUAAGUUGCCUACGUUUCCGUUGUGUGGUGUGGGUAAUUGUGCUUGUCACUGUUGUUGCACCUGACAGGACUGUGUUGGCUGUCAGUUUUGUUGUUUUGUUAAUUGCA